This 206-nucleotide ribosomal RNA is filed under the name uncultured bacterium. RNAcentral describes it as "partial 16S ribosomal RNA". It matches the Rfam family "Bacterial small subunit ribosomal RNA", at positions 325 to 523 of the family's 1533-position model. The record is from RNAcentral.
CUCCUAGAGAUUCCCUACGGGAGGCAGCAGUGGGGAAUAUUGCACAAUGGGCGCAAGCCUGAUGCAGCCAUGCCGCGUGUAUGAAGAAGGCCUUCGGGUUGUAAAGUACUUUCAGCGGGGAGGAAGGUGUUGAGGUUAAUAACCUCAGCAAUUGACGUUACCCGCAGAAGAAGCACCGGCUAACUCCGUGCCAGCAGCCGCGGUAA